RNAcentral lists this transfer RNA (62 nucleotides) under Echyridella menziesii. Its description in RNAcentral is "tRNA-Gly". Lineage: Eukaryota; Metazoa; Mollusca; Bivalvia; Unionida; Hyriidae. The record is from RNAcentral.
AUAUUGGUAGUAUAAUGAGUACAAUUGCCUUCCAAGCAGAUAGCCCAAUCACAGGCCAAUAU